RNAcentral lists this ribosomal RNA (400 nucleotides) under uncultured bacterium. RNAcentral describes it as "bacterial SSU rRNA". It matches the Rfam family "Bacterial small subunit ribosomal RNA", at positions 356 to 773 of the family's 1533-position model. The record is from RNAcentral.
UAGGAAUAUUGGACAAUGGGCGCAAGCCUGAUCCAGCCAUGCCGCGUGAGUGAUGAAGGCCUUCGGGUUGUAAAGCUCUUUAGCCGACGAAUAUAAUGACUGUAGUCGGAGAAUAAGCCCCGGCUAACUUCGUGCCAGCAGCCGCGGUAAUACGAAGGGGGCGAGCGUUAUUCGGAAUCACUGGGCGUAAAGCGUGCGUAGGCUGUUUUGUAAGUCAGAAGUGAAAGCCCAGGGCUUAACCCUGGAAUUGCUUUUGAAACUACAAGACUUGAAUUCGGGAGAGGAUAGCGGAAUUGUCAGUGUAGCAGUGAAAUGCGUAGAUAUUGACAGGAACACCAGUGGCGAAAGCGGCUAUCUGGACCGACAUUGACGCUGAGGCACGAAAGCGUGGGGAGCAAAC